Podarcis lilfordi (Lilford's wall lizard) is the source of this 100-nucleotide non-coding RNA. The record is from the annotation of a GenBank genome assembly. Lineage: Eukaryota; Metazoa; Chordata; Lepidosauria; Squamata; Lacertidae.
UAUAUAUAUAUAUAUGUGUGUGUGUGUGUGUGUGUGUGUGUGUGUGUAUAUAUAUGUAUACACAUACACAUACAUACAGACAUACACACACACACACUUU